GGCUGGUUGCCCGAGUGGCCAAAGGGAUCUGACUGUAAAUCAGACGGCUCAGCCUACGCAGGUUCGAACCCUGCACCAGCCAC
This 83-nucleotide transfer RNA is filed under the name Kineosporia babensis. RNAcentral's name for it is "tRNA-Tyr". It matches the Rfam family "tRNA". Rfam says of the family: Transfer RNA (tRNA) molecules are approximately 80 nucleotides in length. Their secondary structure includes four short double-helical elements and three loops (D, anti-codon, and T loops). Lineage: Bacteria; Bacillati; Actinomycetota; Actinomycetes; Kineosporiales; Kineosporiaceae. The record is from RNAcentral. RNAcentral also lists the same sequence under 1 other name.